CAGCCUGUCAUAUGAUUAGUGAUCAGGUAUUAGACAAUCUAUUCUAGAAGAAAAAACAACAUCAAACAGCUUGCUCAACACACAUGUUUCGAAGAACGUCUUUUUCCAUGCUCGGGCUAGUUGGGAGGUGAAAGACACAAACAAAGCAAAUGAUUAAUCAUGUCCUAUUCCCCGCCAAAUGCUCGUGUACUCAAGGGCUUUCAAAAGCAGUUAUCGAGGUGAAGGAAGCGCGAGCAAGUCUUACCGGCUUUAAGAGAAGGUGCCCCCAUAGGCCAGUUCCUUAGCCCGGUCAAAAAGAAUGCUUUGGUGACUUGAAAAUGAACCACAUGCGUAAAUACAGAUGCCGCUGCAUACGAAUCAGCCUCAAGCAGGCACGCACCUGGGAGGGCGAAAG
RNAcentral lists this unclassified non-coding RNA (394 nucleotides) under Hevea brasiliensis (rubber tree). The record is from RNAcentral. Lineage: Eukaryota; Viridiplantae; Streptophyta; Magnoliopsida; Malpighiales; Euphorbiaceae.